GUGCUUGCUUCGGCAGCACAUAUACUAAAAUUGGAACGAUACAGAGAAGAUUAGCAUGGCCCCUGCACAAGGAUGACAUGCAAAUUCAUGAAGCAUUCCAUAUUAAA
This 107-nucleotide small nuclear RNA is filed under the name Aotus nancymaae (Ma's night monkey). Lineage: Eukaryota; Metazoa; Chordata; Mammalia; Primates; Aotidae. The record is from RNAcentral.